This 248-nucleotide ribosomal RNA is filed under the name uncultured bacterium. RNAcentral describes it as "partial 16S ribosomal RNA". It matches the Rfam family "Bacterial small subunit ribosomal RNA", at positions 523 to 769 of the family's 1533-position model. The record is from RNAcentral.
AUACGGAGGAUGCAAGCGUUAUCCGGAUUCAUUGGGUUUAAAGGGUGCGUAGGUCGGCUUUUUAAGUCAGUGGUGAAAUCUUGCCGCUUAACGGUAAAAUUGCCAUUGAUACUGACAAGCUUGAGUACAGUUGAGGUAAGCGGAAUGUGUAGUGUAGCGGUGAAAUGCUUAGAUAUUACACAGAACACCGAUUGCGAAGGCAGCUUACUAAACUGUUACUGACGCUGAUGCACGAAAGCGUGGGGAGU